This is a long non-coding RNA of Drosophila willistoni, 542 nucleotides long. RefSeq lists it as uncharacterized. NCBI's taxonomy places the organism in Eukaryota, Metazoa, Arthropoda, Insecta, Diptera, Drosophilidae. The record is from RefSeq and is a predicted model, not a curated record. The transcript is spliced from 2 exons.
UAUGGCAAUUAACAUGAAUUUAAUCUGGAUUAUAUUUACUUUGUUCUUUCCCGCUUUGAGUUGGGCAGCAUCGAAGGAUUAUCGCUGUGAUUUUCUACCUUUGGAGGGUGAAGAAGGACCUGAUAAAGAUUGUGGAUAUGACACCAAAGUAUGGAGCUAUAAUAGGGAACAAAAUAUUUGCUCUCCUUGGUCUUAUUUUGGCUGCAAAGUGGAUGGCAAUAAGUUUCAUACCCGACGCAUAUGUGAAAUUGUUUGCAUUUUCCCAUCAAAAGAUUUUGCUACAAUUGGUCCAAGACCUGACAGAAUCGAAGUGCUAUUGAGAAAAGCUUUCGAAGGAAAGGAAAAUAGAUAAACAUAUCUCAAUAUUAGUUUAUUUUUAGAUUUAUCUAUUCCAUAAUAAGAUCGAGAUGAAUUCAAGUUUUUAAAUCUAAUCGAGUGGACUUGUGUACUUUUAAAACCAUAUUUCAUAAGUGUUAGUUAGCAAAACACGUAUUAAGUCAUUUCCAUCUUUGUAAUUGCAAUAGUAAACUUGUGUAACUUGA